GCAGUGAGCGGACAGAUGGGAGCUUGCUCCCUGAUGUUAGCGGCGGACGGGUGAGUACACGUGGGUAACCUGCCUGUAAGACUGGGAUAACUCCGGGAAACCGGGGCUAAUACCGGAUGGUUGUCGUGAACCGCAUGGUUCAGACAUAAAAGGUGGCUUCGGCUACCACUUACAGAUGGACCCGCGGCGCAUUAGCUAGUUGGUGAGGUAACGGCUCACCAAGGCGACGAUGCGUAGCCGACCUGAGAGGGUGAUCGGCCACACUGGGACUGAGACACGGCCCAGACUCCUACGGGAGGCAGCAGUAGGGAAUCUUCCGCAAUGGACGAAAGUCUGACGGAGCAACGCCGCGUGAGUGAUGAAGGUUUUCGGAUCGUAAAGCUCUGUUGUUAGGGAAGAACAAGUGCCGUUCAAAUAGGGCGGCACCUUGACGGUACCUAACCAGAAAGCCACGGCUAACUACGUGCCAGCAGCCGCGGUAAUACGUAGGUGGCAAGCGUUGUCCGGAAUUAUUGGGCGUAAAGGGCUCGCAGGCGGUUUCUUAAGUCUGAUGUGAAAGCCCCCGGCUCAACCGGGGAGGGUCAUUGGAAACUGGGGAACUUGAGUGCAGAAGAGGAGAGUGGAAUUCCACGUGUAGCGGUGAAAUGCGUAGAGAUGUGGAGGAACACCAGUGGCGAAGGCGACUCUCUGGUCUGUAACUGACGCUGAGGAGCGAAAGCGUGGGGAGCGAACAGGAUUAGAUACCCUGGUAGUCCACGCCGUAAACGAUGAGUGCUAAGUGUUAGGGGGUUUCCGCCCCUUAGUGCUGCAGCUAACGCAUUAAGCACUCCGCCUGGGGAGUACGGUCGCAAGACUGAAACUCAAAGGAAUUGACGGGGGGCCCGCACAAGCGGUGGAGCAUGUGGUUUUAUUCGAAACAACGCGAAGAACCUUAACCAGGUCUUGACUUCCUCUGACAAUCCUAGAGAUAGGACGUCCCCUUCGGGGGCAAAAUGAC
RNAcentral lists this ribosomal RNA (997 nucleotides) under Bacillus sp. DS1.oil.4. Its description in RNAcentral is "bacterial SSU rRNA". It matches the Rfam family "Bacterial small subunit ribosomal RNA", at positions 57 to 1035 of the family's 1533-position model. Lineage: Bacteria; Bacillati; Bacillota; Bacilli; Caryophanales; Bacillaceae. The record is from RNAcentral.